This 1814-nucleotide unclassified non-coding RNA is filed under the name Hirundo aethiopica. RNAcentral's name for it is "partial external transcribed spacer". The record is from RNAcentral. Lineage: Eukaryota; Metazoa; Chordata; Aves; Passeriformes; Hirundinidae.
CCUCCCCCCCCGGGCCCGCGAUCCCCGUGACUAGCGCGGGUCGUGCGAUGCGUUGUGUGUGCCUUUUUUUCUUUUUUUUUUUUUUUUUUUUUUCCGGUGGUGUCUUGCCGUCCCCUGGCUUUUCCGGAGGGAAGCCGAUCGCUGCGAGGCGGGCGAAAGCCAGUGGCCCGUGGCAUGGUCGGUGGCAUUUUCUCGCACGCUCGGAUGGCGUUUCCCUGGCGAGAGGGGGUGGGGAGCGAAACACGCGUUCCCCCCCCCCUGCCCAGCGGUCCCAUCCUGCCCGUUGUCUCACUAAGGGAGCCAGCCGUAGUCCGCCGCCUCGGGAGCCGUCGGGGAGGCUCGGCGGCGCCAAGCCGCGGAGAGAGGGCCUCUCGGGGACGUGUCCCGGACGCUCGCCACCUGCGCCCCGAGGGGGGGGGGUGGUGGAGCCGGCCGGCGUCGUGUAUACGCCGGGUUUGCCGUUGGUGUUGACUCAGGAGCAAGCGUGUGGCCGUGGGGCCCCGGUCGCCGUUGGCGGCCAUCCUUUCCUGUCUGUGUCCGAUCGAUGAGGCUUUUCGGGUGGCGUCGGAGAGGGCCCCCGGCGGCCCGGCUCUUCCGGGGCUCUCUGUCACGGGGAAGCCACGGUAGCGCCUGGUGCUCGGGCAAGGGCGGUCUCCUUUCCGGUUCGCUUCCCGUCGCAGGCGAGGUGACGCCCCUCCCGCUGCUGGGAGGGCGUCUUUACCGUCCCGGGCUGUGUGACGGCCGCGUGGCCCCGUGAGCCCUCAGGUGUCCUUCCAGAAAACGAUGCGAGGUGUUGCUGGUGCCGGCCCCGGUCCGGGCAGCUGCCCCGUGGGUGCCGGCCGCGAGCAGCGCUGGGCGGCGGUGCGGCUGGAGCCGAGCCGAGCCGCAGUGGCCAAGAAGAGAGCGUGAGAGAAGGGCGGAAACGAAAGGGGGAUGGCGCGAACGGGGGACGAGAGCCCGUUCCGCGCACGCGCUCCUUGGUCGCGCCGCCGCCUGCUGCCGAGCGAAGCCGCCCCGGCCAAAGGGGCCCCGGUGUCCGGGCCGCGCCCGCCUCGUCGGGUCGCUGUCUCCUCUAGCACGUCCGGUGCUUUGUUUGUUUUUUCCGCACGGCCCGGCGGGGGGGGAAGGGGGACGUGUCGGAGCGGGCUCCGCUCCCGGAGCGGGCCCCUCCCCUUCGGCCCCGGACCUCCUCGCCGGCGGCCCGUCGCGCUCAGCCGCGACCGGGUCGGCGGGCGGGCCGGCCUCGGGGGGCGGGUCAGCCCCCAGCCGAGACCCGUUCCGCGCGCCGCGCGCGCGUGACUCGAGCGCGAGGCCGAGUCUCGAACGGGGUGUCGCGGCCCCCAUCCCCCCCCUUCCGCGAGAGCGAGAGAGAGAGAGAGAGGGAAGGAAGGAGGAAAAGGGGGGGGGGGCAGCCCAGCCCCCGCGUCGUCCGAAGCCGAAGCUGCGCAGCGGUCCCGGCUCCUUGCCCGCGGCGUCGCGGGAAGGGCCGGCCGCCGGGGUCGGCCGUCGCCGCGGGGCGUCCCGCCUCUCCCCCCGCCGCGCGGCGGGCGGAGGCGGGUUAGCCCCGCGCCUGCGCGGUGCCGUUCCCCGCCCCAGGCGCCGCCGGGCCGCCACGUCGCCGGCCGCCGCCGCCGCCGCCGGCGCCCGUCGCCGCCACGCCGCCGCCGCCGGCACGCCCGUGAUGCCGCUCCCGCGGGUCGGAGCGGUGAAAGGAGCCGGGGCGGUCAGGGGUUGGCGGGGGCGGUCCCGCCGGCGGCGGGUCCGGGCGUCCGCGCGCUGGCGCGCCUUGCCGCGGCGCCGCCGUGGGUGGCGGC